CGAACUCUGGUAUUGAUUGGUGCUUGCAUCAUGAUUUACAUUUGAGUGAGUGGCGAACUGGUGAGUAACACGUGGGAAACCUGCCCAGAAGCGGGGGAUAACACCUGGAAACAGAUGCUAAUACCGCAUAACAACUUGGACCGCAUGGUCCGAGCUUGAAAGAUGGCUUCGGCUAUCACUUUUGGAUGGUCCCGCGGCGUAUUAGCUAGAUGGUGGGGUAACGGCUCACCAUGGCAAUGAUACGUAGCCGACCUGAGAGGGUAAUCGGCCACAUUGGGACUGAGACACGGCCCAAACUCCUACGGGAGGCAGCAGUAGGGAAUCUUCCACAAUGGACGAAAGUCUGAUGGAGCAACGCCGCGUGAGUGAAGAAGGGUUUCGGCUCGUAAAACUCUGUUGUUAAAGAAGAACAUAUCUGAGAGUAACUGUUCAGGUAUUGACGGUAUUUAACCAGAAAGCCACGGCUAACUACGUGCCAGCAGCCGCGGUAAUACGUAGGUGGCAAGCGUUGUCCGGAUUUAUUGGGCGUAAAGCGAGCGCAGGCGGUUUUUUAAGUCUGAUGUGAAAGCCUUCGGCUCAACCGAAGAAGUGCAUCGGAAACUGGGAAACUUGAGUGCAGAAGAGGACAGUGGAACUCCAUGUGUAGCGGUGAAAUGCGUAGAUAUAUGGAAGAACACCAGUGGCGAAGCGGCUGUCUGGUCUGUAACUGACGCUGAGGCUCGAAAGUAUGGGUAGCAAACA
RNAcentral lists this ribosomal RNA (741 nucleotides) under Lactiplantibacillus plantarum. Its description in RNAcentral is "bacterial SSU rRNA". It matches the Rfam family "Bacterial small subunit ribosomal RNA", at positions 63 to 774 of the family's 1533-position model. Lineage: Bacteria; Bacillati; Bacillota; Bacilli; Lactobacillales; Lactobacillaceae. The record is from RNAcentral.